UAUGGUAUAUUGGAACUCAUGAGCUCGAGCACCUUAGGGAAUGUUUGUUUUUAUUUUUUUAAAGGUGGUUGGACUGAAAUUCAGUAUGAAUCAUAUAAGAGAGAUUUAGAAGCACGUGAAGAUAAAUGUUUCCCAUGUGACACCAAACAGCACAUUUGGAAGGUACAAGAGCUCUCCAAGACCACUCCUAAUAUCAACUGCAUUAUGCGAAUGAGGAACAUUAAGACACAGAAAGAUGAAGCAACUCUCAUGAGUAAUUACAGAGAAAGCCAGAAUUUGAACCAAGACACUGGCUCCACAGCUCGUGCAAAUCUGCAACUCAUUCUGCCUUCCCGAAGUGUUUUCUAGCUGUGAAUAAAAUGAACG
Molecule: long non-coding RNA, 366 nt
Filed under: Mustela putorius furo (domestic ferret)
Lineage: Eukaryota; Metazoa; Chordata; Mammalia; Carnivora; Mustelidae
Description: lncRNA (ENSMPUG00000029726.1)
Source: RNAcentral